GACGAACGCUGGCGGCAUGCCUAAUACAUGCAAGUCGAGCGAACAGAUGAAGUGCUUGCACUUCUGACGUUAGCGGCGAACGGGUGAGUAACACGUAAGGAAUCUACCUAUAAGCGGGGGAUAACAUCCGGAAACGGGUGCUCAUACCGCAUAAUAUCUUCUUCCGCAUGGAAGAAGAUUAAAAGACGGCUCUGCUGUCCCUUAUAGAUGACAUUGCGGUGCAUGAGUUAGUUGGUGGGGUAAUGGCCUACCGAGACGAUGAGGCAUAGCCGACCUGAGAGGGUGAGCGGCCACAUUGGGACUGAGACACGGCCCAAACACCUACGGGAGGCAGCAGUAGGGAAUCUUCCGCAAUGGGCGAAAGCCUGACGGAGCAAUGCCGCGUGAGUGAAGAAGGCCUUCGGGUCGUAAAACUCUGUUAUAAGAGAAGAACAAAUUGUAGAGUAACUGCUACAGUCUUGACGGUAUCUUAUCAGAAAGCCACGGCUAACUACGUGCCAGCCGCCGCAGUAA
Molecule: ribosomal RNA, 513 nt
Filed under: uncultured bacterium
Lineage: Bacteria
Description: partial 16S ribosomal RNA
Rfam family: Bacterial small subunit ribosomal RNA
Source: RNAcentral